This 498-nucleotide ribosomal RNA is filed under the name uncultured bacterium. RNAcentral's name for it is "partial 16S ribosomal RNA". It matches the Rfam family "Bacterial small subunit ribosomal RNA", at positions 29 to 523 of the family's 1533-position model. The record is from RNAcentral.
AUUGAACGCUGGCGGCAUGCUUUACACAUGCAAGUCGAACGGUAACAGGCCGCAAGGUGCUGACGAGUGGCGAACGGGUGAGUGAUGCAUCGGAACGUGCCCAGUCGUGGGGGAUAACGCAGCGAAAGCUGUGCUAAUACCGCAUACGAUCUAUGGAUGAAAGCGGGGGACCGUAAGGCCUCGCGCGAUUGGAGCGGCCGAUGUCAGAUUAGGUAGUUGGUGGGGUAAAGGCCUACCAAGCCGACGAUCUGUAGCUGGUCUGAGAGGACGACCAGCCACACUGGGACUGGGACACGGCCCAGACUCCUACGGGAGGCAGCAGUGGGGAAUUUUGGACAAUGGGCGCAAGCCUGAGCCAGCAAUGCCGCGUGCAGGAAGAAGGCCUUCGGGUUGUAAACUGCUUUUGUACGGAACGAAACGGUCUGGGUUAAUACCCUGGGCUAAUGACGGUACCGUAAGAAUAAGCACCGGCUAACUACGUGCCAGCCGCCGCAGUAA